CUACGGGCUGCUGCAGUGGGGAAUCUUGGACAAUGGGCGCAAGCCUGAUCCAGCCAUGCCGCGUGAGUGAUGAAGGCCUUAGGGUCGUAAAGCUCUUUCGCCAGAGAUGAUAAUGACAGUAUCUGGUAAAGAAACCCCGGCUAACUCCGUGCCAGCAGCCGCGGUAAUACGGAGGGGGUUAGCGUUGUUCGGAAUUACUGGGCGUAAAGCGCGCGUAGGCGGACUAGUCAGUCAGGGGUGAAAUCCCGGGGCUCAACCCCGGAACUGCCUUUGAUACUGCUAGUCUAGAGUUCGAGAGAGGUGAGUGGAAUUCCGAGUGUAGAGGUGAAAUUCGUAGAUAUUCGGAGGAACACCAGUGGCGAAGGCGGCUCACUGGCUCGAUACUGACGCUGAGGUGCGAAAGUGUGGGGAGCAAACAGGAUUAGAUACCCUUGUAGUC
This 439-nucleotide ribosomal RNA is filed under the name uncultured bacterium. RNAcentral's name for it is "partial 16S ribosomal RNA". It matches the Rfam family "Bacterial small subunit ribosomal RNA", at positions 339 to 795 of the family's 1533-position model. The record is from RNAcentral.